Molecule: long non-coding RNA, 426 nt
Filed under: Mustela putorius furo (domestic ferret)
Lineage: Eukaryota; Metazoa; Chordata; Mammalia; Carnivora; Mustelidae
Description: lncRNA (ENSMPUG00000026461.1)
Source: RNAcentral
CCGUCACCAAACCUAUACUCAGGGGAUAGGAAUAGGAUCCACCUCUUGAAGGAAGGAGAAUCAAAUAAUAUGUGGACAUAUUUUUAAAUCACCGCAGAAAUACUGCUGGGUUAAAGAUCAGUUAAAAACCAAUACCAUUUCUGGGGCACCUGAGUGGCUCAGUGGGUUGAGUGUCCAAUUCCUGGUCUCAGCUCUGGUUAUGAUAUCAGGGUCACGGGACUGAGCCCUGCAUCAAGCUUUGCACUCAGCGGGAAAACUGGGGACCACAUAACAGCCAAAUGCAUAGCAGCCAAAUGCAACAUCUUUGAGUUUCUUCCUCUUCAUGUCCUAAAUCUCCUGACUUAUCCUUAUCCUGGGAAGCAAAAGGAAAUUCAUAUAUUCCUACGGAAAGGAAGUUGGAGUGUGAAGGUCAUCCAAAGUGAGCUG